CUUUUAAGGACUUGCUACUUCCUUGUUUAGAAGAUUUGAGCCUUUAGUACUCCCUUAGAUGGGGGGGAAUCACAUACACAGACAUGGCAACAGAUGAGGAAUUCAUGCCAAGUCGUGCACAGAAGGCACCAUGACUCCUGUGAAGGUCCAGAGCUCCUUGCAGGGUGGACCUACAUAGUGCUGUCAUCCAGCUGGACCUGCAGUGAGAGGAAGCCAUCCAGCAGGUGGUUGACGCCCUGCAGUACCCGCAGAAGGUCUUGGGAGACAUCUUUAGCAGGUAGAUGCUACCACCCACCCCACCU
Molecule: long non-coding RNA, 302 nt
Filed under: Fukomys damarensis (Damara mole-rat)
Lineage: Eukaryota; Metazoa; Chordata; Mammalia; Rodentia; Bathyergidae
Description: lncRNA (ENSFDAG00000032379.1)
Source: RNAcentral